Molecule: ribosomal RNA, 253 nt
Filed under: uncultured bacterium
Lineage: Bacteria
Description: partial 16S ribosomal RNA
Rfam family: Bacterial small subunit ribosomal RNA
Source: RNAcentral
UACAGAGGUCUCAAGCGUUGUUCGGAUUCAUUGGGCGUAAAGGGCGCGUAGGCGGCGAGGUAAGUCGGGUGUGAAAUCUCAGAGCUCAACUCUGAAACUGCACUCGAUACUGCUUUGCUAGAGGACUGGAGAGGAGAUUGAAAUUCACGGUGUAGCAGUGAAAUGCGUAGAGAUCGUGAGGAAGACCAGUGGCGAAGGCGGAUCUCUGGACAGUUCCUGACGCUGAGGCGCGAAGGCCAGGGGAGCAAACGGG